This 1443-nucleotide long non-coding RNA is filed under the name Ananas comosus (pineapple). Its description in RNAcentral is "long non-coding RNA (ACOM_LNC009731)". The record is from RNAcentral. Lineage: Eukaryota; Viridiplantae; Streptophyta; Magnoliopsida; Poales; Bromeliaceae.
UUUAGAUUGUUGACUGUUUUUGAAUAAAAGCGAGGUAAAAUUACACCAAGUAUAUAUAAAUUAUAAAUUAUUUUAAUUUGAUUGUAUUUUUUUUAAAAAUUUUAAUUUUACUAUCUAACUUUUCAGUUUGUUUGGUUUGAGUCCGUCAACGAUAUUUUUAUCUCGAAUUUUAAAGGUGUCGUUUAUUUUUAUUAGUUAAUAUACUUCAUGUAAUUUUUGCAGCUAUAAAUUUAGUAAAGUACAUAUAAUUAGCUUUAAUUUUGAAAUUAAAGUACUUGACUCAAAUUAAAUAAAUUGAAAGAUUGAAUAGUAAAAUCAAAAUUUUAGAAGAUUAAAUAAUUAAAUCAAAUGGUACAUAGUACAGAUAAGUUCUGUACAUUUAUACCUGCAGGCGAUGUUAGAGCUAUAAUUUAUUUUUGGGUUGUAAUCCAACUUACAACUUGGAUUUUGAUAGUUCAAAAGAUCGGCUCCAACGUAGAUACUGCCUCUAUGGUAUAGAAGCAGUUUGGCCAAGGGCCGAGACGCUAAUAGAAGCUGUUCUAUAAAAGCGAUUUAGAACACUCCAACAAAUUUAUUUACUAAAUUUUAUUUAUAUUUUUUAUUUAUCUGAUAAUAAUAUAAAGACGAUUUAAAUCGCUUCUAUAGAUAUUAUUGGAUUAUUUGCAUACACGUCCCUGCAAAUAUAAUGAAUUGCAGAUCUAUUCUUGCAAAAUAAAAAUUUCAUAAGUUGUCCCUAUAAAAGUUCUAAUUUAUGCAGAUAUAUUCCUACCGUUAAGGUCUGUUAGAAAAUUUUUGUUAAUCACAAUUAAAAUACUUAACCGUAGUUAAUUAUAAUGUGAAUUGACGGAUUUAUCCUUCUUUCUCUUCCUCCUCUUUCUGUUCCCUCUUCUUCGUCGCCGGCGAGGAAGGAGAUGCGGUGGCGGCGACGAACCCUCUCCCUCUUCCUCUUCGCCCUUCUUAUUCCUCUCCCUCUUCCUCUUCCCUCUUCUUCGUCGCCGGCGAGGGAGGAGAUACGGCGGCGGCGGCAAACCCUCUCCCUCUCCCUCUUCCUCUUCCCUCUUCCUCUUCCCUCUUCUUCUUCCUCUCCUUCUUUCUCUUCCCUCUUUUUCGUCGCCAGCGAACUCGACCCCACGCCGCUGCCGCCGUCCGCUUCGACGGCCCGAAGAGGAAGAGAAAGAGAAGGGGAAAAGGGAUACUUUUGGAGGGAUAUAUUUGUGAGGGCAAAAAGGUCAUUUCACGAAUCCACUGUUAAAAAAUAAAUAGUUCACUAACGGAUAUUAACUUGAGGGACAUUUCUGCAUAAUUUAGGACUUUUGCAAUGACAACUUAUGAAAUUUUUGUUUUGCAGGGAUAUAUCUGUAAUUCACUAUGUUUGUAGGAACGUGUAUGCAAAUAACCCAAUAUUAUUCUAUAGAGAUGGUUUUAAUUGCUUAUAUGGGCAAG